Molecule: ribosomal RNA, 548 nt
Filed under: uncultured Glomus
Lineage: Eukaryota; Fungi; Glomeromycota; Glomeromycetes; Glomerales; Glomeraceae
Also listed under: 1 other name
Description: SSU rRNA
Rfam family: Eukaryotic small subunit ribosomal RNA
Source: RNAcentral
UUGGAGGGCAAGUCUGGUGCCAGCAGCCGCGGUAAUUCCAGCUCCAAUAGCGUAUAUUAAAGUUGUUGCAGUUAAAAAGCUCGUAGUUGAAUUUCGGGAUCAAUUUAUUGGUCGUGCUAUUGUACGUACUGGUAUUAUUGAUUCCUACCUUCUGACGAACCAUGAUGUCAUUAAUUUGGUGUCAUGGGGAAUCAGGACUGUUACUUUGAAAAAAUUAGAGUGUUUAAAGCAGGCUCACGCUUGAAUACAUUAGCAUGGAAUAACGAAAUAGGACGUUUGAUUCUAUUUUGUUGGUUUCUAGGAUCGACGUAAUGAUUAAUAGGGAUAGUUGGGGGCAUUAGUAUUCAAUUGUCAGAGGUGAAAUUCUUGGAUUUAUUGAAGACUAACUACUGCGAAAGCAUUUGCCAAGGAUGUUUUCAUUAAUCAAGAACGAAAGUUAGGGGAUCGAAGACGAUCAGAUACCGUCGUAGUCUUAACCAUAAACUAUGCCGACUAGGGAUCGGAUGAUGUUAAUUUUUUAAUGACUCAUUCGGCGCCUUACGGGAAAC